UGCCGCGUGCAGGAAGACGGCUUAUGAGUUGUAAACUGCUUUUGUACGAGGGUAAAGCAUCUACGCGUAGGUGCAUGAAAGUAUCGUACGAAUAAGGAUCGGCUAACUCCGUGCCAGCAGCCGCGGUAAUACGGAGGAUCCAAGCGUUAUCCGGAUUUAUUGGGUUUAAAGGGUGCGUAGGCGGUUUUAUAAGUUAGAGGUUAAAUAUCGGAGCUUAACUCCGUUAUGCCUCUAAUACUGUAGGACUAGAGAAUAGUUGCGGUAGGCGGAAUGUAUGGUGUAGCGGUGAAAUGCUUAGAGAUCAUACAGAACACCGAUUGCGAAG
RNAcentral lists this ribosomal RNA (325 nucleotides) under uncultured bacterium. Its description in RNAcentral is "bacterial SSU rRNA". It matches the Rfam family "Bacterial small subunit ribosomal RNA", at positions 395 to 720 of the family's 1533-position model. The record is from RNAcentral.